RNAcentral lists this ribosomal RNA (415 nucleotides) under uncultured beta proteobacterium. RNAcentral describes it as "bacterial SSU rRNA". It matches the Rfam family "Bacterial small subunit ribosomal RNA", at positions 9 to 429 of the family's 1533-position model. The record is from RNAcentral. Lineage: Bacteria; Pseudomonadati; Pseudomonadota; Betaproteobacteria.
GAGUUUGAUCCUGGCUCAGAUUGAACGCUGGCGGAAUGCUUUACACAUGCAAGUCGAGCGGCAGCGCGGGGCAACCUGGCGGCGAGCGGCGAACGGGUGAGUAAUGCAUCGGAACAUGUCCAUGUCGUGGGGGAUAGCCCGGCGAAAGCCGGAUUAAUACCGCAUACGCCCGAGAGGGGAAAGUGGGGGACCGCAAGGCCUCACGCGAUUGGGUUGGCCGAUGUCCGAUUAGCUAGUUGGCGGGGUAAAGGCCCACCAAGGCGAUGAUCGGUAGCUGGUCUGAGAGGAUGAUCAGCCACACUGGGACUGAGACACGGCCCAGACUCCUACGGGAGGCAGCAGUGGGGAAUUUUGGACAAUGGGGGCAACCUGAUCCAGCCAUUCCGCGUGAGUGAAGAAGGCCUUCGGUUGUAAG